Molecule: ribosomal RNA, 265 nt
Filed under: uncultured bacterium
Lineage: Bacteria
Description: partial 16S ribosomal RNA
Rfam family: Bacterial small subunit ribosomal RNA
Source: RNAcentral
CCUAGUGGCGGACGGGUGAGUAACGCGUGAGUAACCUGCCUUUCAGAGGGGAAUAACGUUCUGAAAAGAACGCUAAUACCGCAUAACGUACAGUUACCGCAUGGUAGCAGUACCAAAGGAGCAAUCCGCUGAGAGAUGGACUCGCGUCCGAUUAGCUAGUUGGUGGGGUAAAGGCCUACCAAGGCGACGAUCGGUAGCCGGACUGAGAGGUUGAACGGCCACAUUGGGACUGAGACACGGCCCAGACUCCUACGGAGGCAGCAUG